UACGUAGGUCCCGAGCGUUGUCCGGACUUAUUGGGCGUAAAGCGAGCGCAGGUGGUUUAUUAAGUCUGGUGUAAAAGGCAGUGGCUCAACCAUUGUAUGCAUUGGAAACUGGUAGACUUGAGUGCAGGAGAGGAGAGUGGAAUUCCAUGUGUAGCGGUGAAAUGCGUAGAUAUAUGGAGGAACACCGGUGGCGAAAGCGGCUCUCUGGCCUGUAACUGAGACUGAGGCUCGAAAGCGUGGGGAGCAAACAGG
RNAcentral lists this ribosomal RNA (252 nucleotides) under uncultured bacterium. Its description in RNAcentral is "partial 16S ribosomal RNA". It matches the Rfam family "Bacterial small subunit ribosomal RNA", at positions 524 to 776 of the family's 1533-position model. The record is from RNAcentral.